CCUACGGGUGGCAGCAGUGGGGAAUAUUGCACAAUGGGGGAAACCCUGAUGCAGCGACGCCGCGUGAGUGAAGAAGUAAUUCGUUAUGUAAAGCUCUAUCAGCAGGGAAGAAAAUGACGGUACCUGAGUAAAAAGCACCGGCUAACUACGUGCCAGCAGCCGCGGUAAUACGUAGGGGGCAAGCGUUAUCUGGAUUUACUGGGUGGAAAGGGAGCGUAGACGGCAGUGCAAGUCUGGAGUGAAAGGCGGGGGCUCAACCCCGGGACUGCUCUGGAAACUGUACGGCUGGAGUGCAGGAGAGGUAAGUGGAAUUCCGAGUGUAGCGGUGAAAUGCGUAGAUAUUAGGAGGAACACCAGUGGCGAAGGCGGCUUACUGGACUGUAACUGACGUUGAGGCUCGAAAGCGUGGGGAGCAAACAGGAUUAGAUACCCGGGUAGUC
This 440-nucleotide ribosomal RNA is filed under the name uncultured bacterium. RNAcentral describes it as "partial 16S ribosomal RNA". It matches the Rfam family "Bacterial small subunit ribosomal RNA", at positions 338 to 795 of the family's 1533-position model. The record is from RNAcentral.